GAUGAACGCUGGCGGCGUGCCUAAUACAUGCAAGUCGAGCGAACAGACGAGGAGCUUGCUCCUCUGACGUUAGCGGCGGACGGGUGAGGAACACGUGUAUAACCUACCUAUAAGACUGGGAUAACUUCGGGAAACCGGAGCUAAUACCGGAUAAUAUAUUGAACCGCAUGGUUCAAUAGUGAAAGACGGUUGUGCUGUCACUUAUAGAUGGAUCAGCGCCGCAUUAGCUAGUAGGUAAGGUAACGGCUUACGAAGGCAACGAUGCGUAGCCGACCUGAACGCGUGAUCGGCCACACUGGAGAUGAGGCACGGUCCCGACUCCGACGCGAGGGCGCAGCCGAGAAUCUUACGCAAUGGGCGAGAGCCUGAUGGGACAACGCCGCGUAAAUGAUGAAGGUCUUAGGCCCGUAAAGCUAUGUUAUUAGGGAAGAUCAAAUGUGUAAGUAACUAUGCAGGUCUUGACGGUACCUUAAUAAGAAGCCCCGGCUAACUCCGUG
RNAcentral lists this ribosomal RNA (497 nucleotides) under uncultured bacterium. Its description in RNAcentral is "partial 16S ribosomal RNA". It matches the Rfam family "Bacterial small subunit ribosomal RNA", at positions 28 to 507 of the family's 1533-position model. The record is from RNAcentral.